AAUUUUGGACAAUGGGGGCAACCCUGAUCCAGCCAUCCCGCGUGUGCGAUGAAGGCCUUCGGGUUGUAAAGCACUUUUGGCAGGGAAGAAAAGGCGCGGGUUACUACGCUGUGCCGCUGACGGUCCCUGCAGAAUAAGCACUGGCUAACUACGUGCCAUCAGCCGCGGUAAUACGUAGGGUGCAAGCGUUAAUCGGAAUUACUGGGCGUAAAGCGUGCGUCGGCGGUUUGGCAAGAAAGGUGUGAAAUCCCAGGGCUUAACCUUGGAACUGCACUUUUAACUGCCAGGCUAGAGUAUGUCAGAGGGGGGUAGAAUUCCGCGUGUAGCAGUGAAAUGCGUAGAGAUGCGGAGGAAUACCGAUGGCGAAGGCAGCCCCCUGGGAUAAUACUGACGCUCAGGCACGAAAGCGUGGGGAGCAAACA
This 422-nucleotide ribosomal RNA is filed under the name uncultured bacterium. Its description in RNAcentral is "partial 16S ribosomal RNA". It matches the Rfam family "Bacterial small subunit ribosomal RNA", at positions 360 to 774 of the family's 1533-position model. The record is from RNAcentral.